GACGAACGCUGGCGGCGUGCCUAAUACAUGCAAGUCGAGCGGACUUGAAGGAGUGCUUGCACUCCUGAGAGUUAGCGGCGGACGGGUGAGUAACACGUAGGCAACCUGCCCUCAAGACUGGGAUAACUACCGGAAACGGUAGCUAAUACCGGAUAAUUUAUUACAUAGCAUUAUGUGAUAAUGAAAGACGGAGCAAUCUGUCACUUGGGGAUGGGCCUGCGGCGCAUUAGCUAGUUGGUGGGGUAACGGCCCACCAAGGCGACGAUGCGUAGCCGACCUGAGAGGGUGAACGGCCACACUGGGACUGAGACACGGCCCAGACUCCUACGGGAGGCAGCAGUAGGGAAUCUUCCGCAAAGGGCGAAAGCCUGACGGAGCAACGCCGCGUGAGUGAUGAAGGUUUUCGGAUCGUAAAGCUCUGUUGCCAAGGAAGAACGUCUCAUAGAGUAACUGCUAUGAGAGUGACGGUACUUGAGAAGAAAGCCCCGGCUAACUACGUG
Molecule: ribosomal RNA, 500 nt
Filed under: uncultured bacterium
Lineage: Bacteria
Description: partial 16S ribosomal RNA
Rfam family: Bacterial small subunit ribosomal RNA
Source: RNAcentral